GAGUCCCCUUUUAUCGGGCGGAGAUGCGCUGAGGCGCAAGGUGCUGGCGACACUACCUGGUACAGGGAACGCCUCCUGGCUCGCAGCCAGAGGCCGAUCCUGUGGCGAGCUCGGUAACGACGAGCCGUCGCAACGCGUGGAAAGGAGUGGGCCGGCUUAGCCGGCUUAAGGUACAUGCUAUCCGCUGGGAAACCAGUCUUCUGCAGAGAGACCCGAUAAGUCGAACUGUAGGGGGGCCCCGAAGAGAUUCGGGGCUGGGAGGUCGGUUUAUACCGGUCCUAAAUGCUGUGAUGCCCUUAGAUGUUCUGGGCUGCACGCGCGCUACACUGACAGAGCCAGCGAGUACUUCCUUGACAGAGAUG
This 362-nucleotide ribosomal RNA is filed under the name fungal sp. RNAcentral describes it as "partial small subunit ribosomal RNA". The record is from RNAcentral. Lineage: Eukaryota; Fungi.